Molecule: non-coding RNA, 30 nt
Filed under: Rattus norvegicus (Norway rat)
Lineage: Eukaryota; Metazoa; Chordata; Mammalia; Rodentia; Muridae
Source: RNAcentral
UUAAAAGAGCCUUGUUAAUUCGCUUCAAAC